Molecule: long non-coding RNA, 492 nt
Organism: Xenia sp. Carnegie-2017
Lineage: Eukaryota; Metazoa; Cnidaria; Anthozoa; Malacalcyonacea; Xeniidae
Exons: 2
Source: RefSeq, a predicted model, not a curated record
GAUUAACAGGAGAAGACUGUAAUAGCUACGGAUAAUUUAAAACUCGGCUUGUAUAGUGGAAAUUAGAGAUGAAGUGUCAACUGUUCACCAAUGCCGCACUAGUCAGUUUCAUUUUUCUGUUUGCUGUUCUACUUCAACAAAGCAUCUCCCAACCUAUUGGUACGCAAGAUGGAGACGCCGAUCUGAUGUUCUAUACAAAAAGAGAAUAUUUGCAUCUAGGAUCAUGAACAAAUGGCGAAAUCAACUCAGAGAACAACGACUUCCUAGAACAAAAAAACCUUGUGGACCACCUGGCUCGUGGGCGGUGUGUUGACUUUAACAAUAUUAUGCAUGUAAUUAAAGUUUUCAAAGUUUCUUGAGAAAACUAUCGACAUGUAAAAAUCACUAAACCAGCUAGCUCCUUUAUGACGAUUAGGUUAUGUAAAUGCUACAGAGAAAUGAAUUUUCCCAAACUAAAUGCAUAGAUAAAAAUAAAAUCAUAUCAGUAGUUUA